GGGCCGGUAGUUCAGGGGUAGAAUACCCGCCUUGCGAGCGGGUGGUCGCGGGUUCAAGUCCCGCCCGGUCCA
Molecule: transfer RNA, 72 nt
Filed under: Thermoprotei archaeon
Lineage: Archaea; Thermoproteati; Thermoproteota; Thermoprotei
Description: tRNA-Ala
Rfam family: tRNA
About the family: Transfer RNA (tRNA) molecules are approximately 80 nucleotides in length.
Source: RNAcentral